UGGAGGUGUGCCGAGUGCCGGGGGCAUGUGCCUGCGUGGGUCCUGUCCGGCAGGAGCUUGAAAUCAAGGCCGUCAGAGUGACUCCUGGGCACGGGACAUUGGAGAACUGAUGCGCCCAGGCUGAAGGGAGACACAGCAAACCCCAGCUGGGUGAAGAGCUGCAAGAGAGUUUCCAGUCUAAUCUCCCUGCCUGGCUCUGCAAUCCCGAGUUCAGUCUCUGGAACUUUGCCUGGUG
This is a long non-coding RNA of Myotis davidii, 235 nucleotides long. RefSeq lists it as uncharacterized. The transcript has 3 exons. The record is from RefSeq and is a predicted model, not a curated record. NCBI's taxonomy places the organism in Eukaryota, Metazoa, Chordata, Mammalia, Chiroptera, Vespertilionidae.